Molecule: ribosomal RNA, 424 nt
Filed under: uncultured eukaryote
Lineage: Eukaryota
Description: bacterial SSU rRNA
Rfam family: Eukaryotic small subunit ribosomal RNA
Source: RNAcentral
CAAUAGCGUAUAUUAAAGUUGUUGUGGUUAAAAGCUCGUAGUUGGAUCUCGGCGGACUGAGGGCGGUUUGCUUGCUAGUAUUACUGCCCUAUAGUCCGUAGUUUUGCCAGAGGUUUCGGGGUGCUCUUAAUCGAGUGUCCCGGGAUGCUGGCAGGUUUACUUUGAAAAAUUAGAGUGCUCAAAGCAGGCUAUUACGCCUGAAUAUUCGUGCAUGGAAUAAUAGAAUAGGACCUCGGUUCCAGUUUUCGUUGGUUUGCGAAUCCUUGAGGUAAUGAUUAAUAGGGACUGCCGGGGGCAUACGUAUUGCGGCGGGAGAGGUGAAAUUCGUGGAUCGCCGCAAAGACGAACGACAGCGAAAGCAUUUGCCAAGAAUGUUCUCAUUAAUCAAGAACGAAAGUCAGAGGUUCGAAGAUGAUCAGAUACC